AGCAGCCGCGGUAAUUCCAGCUCCAAUAGCGUAUAUUAAAGUUGUUGCAGUUAAAAAGCUCGUAGUUGAAUUUCGGGAUUGACACAUCGGUCGUGCCUUAAGGGGUAUGAACUGGUGUAGUCAAUUUCUCACCUUCUGGAGAACCGCGAUGCCCUUAAUUGGGUGUCGCGGGGAACCAGGACCUUUACUUUGAAAAAAUUAGAGUGUUUAAAGCAGGCAUUUUGCUUGAAUACAUUAGCAUGGAAUAAUAAAAUAGGACGGCAUGAUUCUAUUUUGUUGGUUUCUAGGAUCACCGUAAUGAUUAAUAGGGAUAGUUGGGGGCAUUAGUAUUCAAUUGUCAGAGGUGAAAUUCUUGGAUUUAUUGAAGACUAACUACUGCGAAAGCAUUUGCCAAGGAUGUUUUCAUUAAUCAAGAACGAAAGUUAGGGGAUCGAAGACGAUCAGAUACCGUCGUAGUCUUAA
This 462-nucleotide ribosomal RNA is filed under the name uncultured Entrophospora. RNAcentral describes it as "SSU rRNA". It matches the Rfam family "Eukaryotic small subunit ribosomal RNA", at positions 569 to 1029 of the family's 1831-position model. Lineage: Eukaryota; Fungi; Glomeromycota; Glomeromycetes; Entrophosporales; Entrophosporaceae. The record is from RNAcentral.